Molecule: small nucleolar RNA, 126 nt
Organism: Callithrix jacchus (white-tufted-ear marmoset)
Lineage: Eukaryota; Metazoa; Chordata; Mammalia; Primates; Cebidae
Gene: SNORD22
Rfam family: Small nucleolar RNA SNORD22
About the family: U22 is a member of the C/D class of snoRNA which contain the C (UGAUGA) and D (CUGA) box motifs. U22 is encoded within the U22 snoRNA host gene (UHG) in mammals and has also been identified in Xenopus.
Source: Ensembl
UCCCAAUGAAGAAACUUUCACAUGUCUUACUCUCUGUCCUAGUCCCAGAGCCUGUAAAGGUGAACCCACUGGGACUGGCUGGGGGAGAAGAGGAAGCUUUGUUCCACAAGGAACUGUCUGAGGGAC